Molecule: ribosomal RNA, 3364 nt
Filed under: Capsicum chinense (habanero)
Lineage: Eukaryota; Viridiplantae; Streptophyta; Magnoliopsida; Solanales; Solanaceae
Description: bacterial LSU rRNA
Rfam family: Eukaryotic large subunit ribosomal RNA (bases 385-3364)
Source: RNAcentral
ACUCUCGACAAUGGAUAUCUUAGCUAUCAGAUCGAAGAAUAAUGUGGAAAAAUAUGAUACUUAGUGUAAAUUGUAGAAUCCUAUGAACCAUCGAGUCUUUGAAAACAAAUUAUGCCUGAAGCCAUUAGAUCGAGGGAACUUCUGCCUAGGCAUCAUGCAUCGUGUUUCCCGCCUGCAUUGCUCCUUAAUCAUAGGUUAUGCUAUUGUUGUGGGGUGGAUACUGGACUCUCUUGGACCAAGAACUUGAAACUGGCCUAAAUAUGAGUGCACGUCGAUGGUGGUUAUGGAAAGUGGUGGUUAUAACUUAACUCUCUUUGUUAUCAUGGCUAUAAACUGUUGUACAUCCGGACUCCAGGACCCUAUUGCUCUUAGGUACUCCGAUUGUGACCCCAGGUCAGGCGAGAUUACUUGUUGAGUAUACCAAUAUCAAUAAGAAAAAGAAAAAAAAACUUAUAAGGAUACCUUGGUAAUAGCGAGCGAACUGGGAAAAACCCAGGCUUAGAAUGUGGUUGCUCUAUCAUCCAAAUUGUAGUAUGGAGAAGAGUCCUCAGUGGAGGAUUAGUCCCAAGUACCCUGGAAGGGGGACAAGACAAGGUGAGAGCCCCAUUAUGCUCAGACCAUGUCGCACCAUGAGGCAUGUCUAUGAGUCUGGUUAUUUGGCAAUGUAGCCUUAAUCUAGCAGCGAAUUUCAUCCAAGGAUAAAUAUAGGUGAGAUACUGAUAGCAAAUAAGUACUUUGACAGAAAAAUGAAAUGGAUUUUUAAAAGAGAGUCAAAGAGUGCUUGAAACUGUCAGAAGAGAAGCAGAUGAGGGAUGGUGGAACGAUGAUGAGCUGGUCUGCUGAUCGACUUGGGGCAUGGACUAGUUAGAUUAGGGAGGCAUUCAAAGCUCGAGCUUUCGAUACGCUCGUCGAAUAUCACAUCCUUAAUUGUAGCAAGCAGUGCACACCUCUGGUGUACAUUCAUAUCUGUGCACUCCAGACACUACCAUGUGGGCUCCCCAUUCGAACCAUCUUCAAACACCGACCAAAGAGUCUGAUAUGUGUGUGAGUCAAUGGGCGAUUAAACCCCUAAGGUAUAAGGAAAAUGAUUGGUAGGAUCCCUCUGAGGGGUACACCGCUUACCGACCAUGAUCUUCUGAGUAGGGUACGAGUGUGAGCAUACCUAUCGGGACCUAAAAGAUGGUGUACUAUACUUGAGCGGGGCGAAGGAACAGGAAACUCUGGUGGUGGCCCACAGUGAUACUGACGUGAAAAUCAUUUGUUUGACUUCUGUAUAGGGGUAAAACACCAAUCAAACCAUCUAGUAGCAGGUUCUAUCUGAAGUUUCCCUCAGGAUAUCUGGAACUCGCAUGUAAGUUCUAUUAGGUAAAGCUAGUGAUUAGAGGGAUCGGGGGCGCAACGCUCUUGACCUAUUCUCAAACUUUAAAUAGGUAGGAUGGUGUGGCUCCAUUGUUGUGCCGAGCAAAGCUCUAAGUAGGACCUUCUUUGUAAGCAGAGCUGGCGAUACAGAAUGAACCAGAAGCCAAGUUAUGGUCCCAAACAACAUGCUGAACUAGAUCCCACAAAGGGUGUUGUUCAAUUAAUACAACAGUACGUAGGUCACGGAAGUCUAAAUACACUAAGGAGCGUGCAAUAACUCACCUACCGAAUCAACUAGCCUCAAAAAUAGAUUUCAUUUAAGCGCAUGACCAACUCCUGGUCGCCGGGGAAAAUGCAAGGCCCCAAUGAGUAGGAGGGUGCAGUGGUCACUUUAAAACCUUGGGCACGAGCCCAAGCAGAGUAGCCAUCGGUGCAAAUCUUGGUGAUAGUAGUAAAUAUUAAAAUGAGAACUUUGAAGGCUGAAGAGAAAAAAGAUUCCAUGUUAACGACAGUUGCGUAUGGGUUAGUCUAUCUUAAUGGUAAGGGCAAUUAAAAAGUCCAGAGACAUCGGCGGGAGCUUCAGGAAGAGUUAUCUUUUCUUUUUAACAGUAUGCCCACCCUGUAAUAGGCUCAGUCAGAGGUUGGGACCUAUGGAUGGAAGAGCAUCACACAUCGCAUAGUGUUCCGUGUGCUCUUGGAGGCCCUUGAAAAUCCAGAUUAUCAAAUGCCGUGCAUGUUCGGUCGUACUCAUAACCACAUCACGUUUCCAAAGUGAACAACCUUUGGCUCUGUGGGCUGGGCAUCGGGGUCCUAAUCUCAAAGAAGUCAGCUAUCGAUUGACAACUCGAGCUGCUCCCGUGGUGAGAGCGGGUCAGCGCAUAUCGGUCGGGGGACAAACUGGGAAUAGUUCCUUUAGGGGCAUUUACUGUUCAUGAAAUAGCCAACUCAAAACUGGUAUGGCCAAGAGAAAUCAAAAUUUUUUAUUAAAACAAAUAAUUGCGAUGGUCACAAUGGAUGUUCACGCAAUGUGAUUUCUGCCCAGUAUUCUGAAUGUCAAAGUGAAGUAAUUCAACCAUGCACGGGUAAACGGUGGGAGAAACUAUGACUAUUUUAUGUUAGAAAAAUUCCUUAUUAUCUAAUUAGUAAUGCACAUGGAUGGAUUAGCGAGAUUACACCUGUCUACUAUAUAGCGAAACCACAGCUAAUGGAACGGGCUUGGCAGAAUCAAUGGAGAAAGAAGACCUUGUUGAGCUUGACUCUAGUCUGCCUUUUUUAAAUGACUUGAGAGGUGAAGUAUAAGUGAGAUACAAACGACGAGAGUGAACUAAUACUACUUUUAACAUUAUUUUACUAAUUUCGUGAAUCGAAAGUAGGGCAUUACCCCUUUUUUUUGACCCAAGGCUCACUCUACAGGCUGAUCCAAAUAGAAGACAUUGUUAGGUAUGGAGUUUGGCUGCGGUGAUGCUUCUGCUAAAAUAUAACGUAGGUGCCCUAAAAUGAGCUUCACGAGAAUAGAAAUCUUGGGUGGAAAAGAAAGGUAAAAGCUCAUUUGAUUCUGAUUUCCAGUAUGAAUAUAAACUGUAAAAAUCUAGCCUAACGAUCCUUUAGACCUUCAAAAUUUGGAGAAAGAGGUGUCAGGAAAGUUACCACAGGGAUAACUCACUUGUGGAAGCCAAUCAUUUAUAGCAAUGUUGCUUUUUGAUCUUUUGAUGUCGGCUCUUCCUAUUACUGUGAAGCAGAAUUCACCAAGUGUUGGAUUGUUCACCCACCAAUACGGAAUGUGAGUUGGGUUUAUACCAUCAUGAGAAGUUAUUUUUACCCUACUGAUGACAAUGUCGCAAUAGUAAUUCAACUAAAUAUGAGAGGAACAAUUGAUUCACAUAAUUGGACAUCGCACUUGGUUGAAAAGAUAGUGGGGCAAAGCUACAGUGUGCUGGAUUAUGACUGAAUGCCUCUGAAUCAAAAUCUAGGCUAGAAGAAAUACAUGUAACCGCCUUCCGCUUGU